GAGGAAAAAGGGGAAAAUUUUAGUUUCUUUCAACUUUCUGCAAGCAAUACAACAUUAGAUUGAAGCCUAAAAAGAGAGAGAGAGAGAACUACCACAAACUACAGAAAAUUUCCCUUCCACCACAUUUUGAUUAAAUAAACUGCAUUUAAGGUAUCCAACAACCAAUUCCUCAAGCCAUAAAACCCAAGAAGAAAUUAAUUCAAAUACCUUCCUUCAACAAGAUGCAAAUAGCUGUGUUAUAUAUAUAUGCAAAAAGAAUCGCCCACCAUCGUGAGCCAUACCAGAGUGCAACUUCUGGAUUUGUUUUUCUGGCCCCUUCCGCGUUGCUCAACUCCAGUAUCAACAACUUCUAAACCAGAAGAAACAAGCAUUGCGACUAACGUAUCGGGUGGUAUUGUGCUGAUAUUCUCUUGGGAGGCAACUUUCGCAAGAUGUAGAGCACUAGAGCUGAAGGUAGAAUCUCAACCAACUGUAAUUUAGACCGACAAAGCAUUCAAUACACAAAUAAAAGUUACCCGUACAAUGAAGUAGAGACUGAAGCUUAAUUAUAUUUAUAAACAGAAUCUAUUAGAAUACCAUGUAAUAUAUCAAGUUCAAAACCGGAUGAUCCAAAACAUCAAGUGACGCAUCUGUAUCAAAAGCAGAAAGAAGAACCUGCAGGUUGAGAAUGAGUUAGAAGCACAUCACCAAAAUUAUUUCCAUGAUGAAACGCGAUACUUAUUUCCCUAUAAUGAUUCUCUUUCUACUUGAGCCAAAAGUCAACCUUAUUAAAUCUAACUUUUGAGAUCAAAGAUUCAAAGUCCAGGAUAGUCCAUGUUGACAGCCAAAUAUCAUGGACAUCCAUCUAUUGAAGACCCACAUCUAAACUUCAAACUUCAAACUGAAUUUAUCAAUUUAUGACACCAAAUAGAGGCUUUUUCUUUCUGUCAUUUUUUUUGGAAGAAAAAAAAAAAUUAAUGCAGUAAUUGUUUUGAAGUAGCAGAUGUGCAUCUCGAAAUAGCCAACCACUUGUAGAUUGACAGUUUUCUAUUAAAUCUGCAUCAAAUUUUAAUUUAAAAUAAGAUUCCUUGUCUCAAACACAAUAAUCCAAACAUCCAAUUACCUCUGCAAAGAGAGCAGCAAAUCAGACGUUAAAGGGCAAGAAUGAGGAAAAAGGGGAAAAUUUUAGUUUCUUUCAACUUUCUGCAAGCAAUACAACAUUAGAUUGAAGCCUAAAAAGAGAGAGAGAGAGAACUACCACAAACUACAGAAAAUUUCCCUUCCACCACAUUUUGAUUAAAUAAACUGCAUUUAAGGUAUCCAACAACCAAUUCCUCAAGCCAUAAAACCCAAGAAGAAAUUAAUUCAAAUACCUUCCUUCAACAAGAUGCAAAUAGCUGUGUUAUAUAUAUAUGCAAAAAGAAUCGCCCACCAUCGUGAGCCAUACCAGAGUGCAACUUCUGGA
Molecule: long non-coding RNA, 1444 nt
Filed under: Jatropha curcas
Lineage: Eukaryota; Viridiplantae; Streptophyta; Magnoliopsida; Malpighiales; Euphorbiaceae
Description: long non-coding RNA (JCUR_LNC003321)
Source: RNAcentral